UACGUAGGGGGCAAGCGUUGUCCGGAAUCAUUGGGCGUAAAGCGCGCGUAGGCGGCCCGGUAAGUCCGUUGUGAAAGUCAAAGGCUCAACCUUUGAACGCCGAUGGAUACUGCCGGGCUAGAGUCCGGAAGAGGCGAGUGGAAUUCCUGGUGUAGCGGUGGAAUGCGCAGAUAUCAGGAGGAACACCAAUAGCGAAGGCAGCUCGCUGGGACGGUACUGACGCUGAGGCGCGAAGGUCAGGGGAGCAAACGGG
Molecule: ribosomal RNA, 253 nt
Filed under: uncultured bacterium
Lineage: Bacteria
Description: partial 16S ribosomal RNA
Rfam family: Bacterial small subunit ribosomal RNA
Source: RNAcentral